RNAcentral lists this transfer-messenger RNA (339 nucleotides) under Clostridium beijerinckii. It matches the Rfam family "transfer-messenger RNA". Rfam says of the family: Bacterial tmRNA, also known as 10Sa RNA or SsrA, is named for its dual tRNA and mRNA-like properties. Lineage: Bacteria; Bacillati; Bacillota; Clostridia; Eubacteriales; Clostridiaceae. The record is from RNAcentral.
GCAAAUUUAAGACAUAUCUGUUAAGCGAGUCGAGGGACGCAUGGAGCUUCGUUAAUGAAGUAUGCAUAAAUGUAAACGCAGAAGAUAAUUUUGCAUUAGCAGCUUAGUUUAAUAGCUGUUCAUCAGCCCAGGUUGCCUACGGCUUGGAUCACUGGUGUCAUUUGAGUGGGAAACGAAGUUUAGCAAAGCUUUGAGAUAAAUGAGUAUUUAUGAAACUACUGAGAAGUAUAACCUGUCUAGGGGCGAUACUUUGAGGGGAUUUUAAAACUUAGACUGCACUCAGACAAAUUGAAAUUCAGCUGCUUUCGGACAGGAGUUCGAUACGCCUCGCCUCCACCA